RNAcentral lists this ribosomal RNA (1185 nucleotides) under uncultured Actinomycetes bacterium. RNAcentral's name for it is "bacterial SSU rRNA". It matches the Rfam family "Bacterial small subunit ribosomal RNA", at positions 76 to 1328 of the family's 1533-position model. Lineage: Bacteria; Bacillati; Actinomycetota; Actinomycetes. The record is from RNAcentral.
GUCGUUUGGUAGCUCUUGGAGGUACAGAGGGUGGAGGUGAUACAGUAGAUCUACCCAAAGUGAGGGAUAGCACAGAAUGUGUUAGUACGAUGUGCUCUAGGAGUAAAGCUUUAGCGCUGGGGAAGAGCCUGCGUAUGAUAGCUUGUGGUGAGGUAAAAGCUCACCAAGGGAGAUCAUUACUGGUCUGAGAGGAUGAUCAGCCAGAUGGGAUGAGAACGGCCCAGACUCCUACGGGAGUCCAUGCAGUAGGGAAUUUUCCAGGCAAUGGACGAAAGUCUGAUGGAGCAACGCCGCGUGCAGGAUGAAGGCCUUCGGGUCGUAAACUGCUUUUAUAUGUGAAAAUUAUGAUGGUACAUGUGAAUAAGAUCGGCUAACUCCGUGCCAGCAGCCGCGGUCAUACGGAGGAUCCAAGCGUUAUCCGGAAUUACUGGGCGUAAAGAGUUGCGUAGGUGGCAUAGUAAGCGAAUAGUGAAAGCGUAUGGCUCAACCAUAUAAACAUUACUCGAACUGCUAAGCUAGAAGAUAAGAGAGGGUACCUGGAAUUCCUAGUGUAGGGGUGAAAUCCGUAGAUAUUAGGAGGAACACCAAUGGCGUAGGCAGGGUACUGGCUUAUUCUUGACACUAAGGCACGAAAGCGUGGGGAGCAAACGGGAUUAGAUACCCCGGUAGUCCACGCCGUAAACUAUGGAUGCUAGCUGUUGUCGGUAUCGACCCCGACAGUAGCGAAGCUAACGCGUUAAGCAUCCCGCCUGGGAAGUACGGUCGCAAGACUAAAACAUAAAGGAAUUGACGGGGACCCGCACAAGCGGUGGAGCGUGUUGUUUAAUUCGAAAGUAAGCGAAGAACCUUACCCAGGCUUGACAUCCUGCGAAUUUCUCCGAAAGAGAGAGUGCUUUAUUGAGCGCAGUGAACAGGUGUUGCAAUGCCCUCGUCAGCUCGUGUCGUGAGAUGUUUGGUUAAGUCCAUCAACGAGCGCAACCCUUAUGUUUAGUUGUAUUUUUCUAACAGACUGCCCCUGGUAACAGGGAGGAAGGGGGGGAUGACGUCAGGUCAGUAUUACCCUUACGUCUGGGGCUACAGACACGCUACAAUGGCCGGUACAAAGGCAGCUAAGUCGCGAGACGGAGCAAAUCCCAUAAAGCCGUCCCAGUUCGGAUAGCAGGCUAUACUCCCCUGCUGAAGUCG